This is a long non-coding RNA of Quercus robur (English oak), 2247 nucleotides long. RefSeq lists it as uncharacterized. NCBI's taxonomy places the organism in Eukaryota, Viridiplantae, Streptophyta, Magnoliopsida, Fagales, Fagaceae. The record is from RefSeq and is a predicted model, not a curated record. The transcript has 4 exons.
UUCUUUUUUCCUCUUUUAGAUGCUCGUAGGAUUUCAUUCUUUAAUUUAUGACUUCCCAUAUUAGGAAAAAGAAUAUGUGAAUUUUCCCAAAUCUAUCUCUUCGUUCUAGCAAAUUACAUCUUUGUAUCUUGAAAUGAGUUGAAGAGUUGUUCUGUUUUAUAUGCUUCAUUUCUCAGUUUGUAAACAGAGUAAAAUUGAUAGCCAUUCUGCAGGAACCAGCAUGUAUUCGGUUAUAUCUACAGAACUUUUUAUUUUGACUACAAUGUCUACAAAUAUUGAUAGACAGUUUAGUAUCUGAGUUAACGGAGUAAUUUUUGUAUUUCAUCCUGAUUUUGUCAAGUAGCUUAGUUUUCAUUAAAAAGACUGCUUGAUAAUUGAAUCAAUUGUUAAUUUCUAAUUGAAUGGAAAAUGUUUCUCAACCAAAGCAACUGAGGUCUCACUAGUAAUCAACUGAUUUACAUUGGGAAUUCAAUAACAAACAACAUUAUGGCAUUGAAUUGAUACUAGUUAAACAUCUGUGGCUUUGGUGAUUGAAUUCCCAAUGUAUAUGUUUAAAUAAAUUAUGAUAUCAAGCAUUUUGUCAUUGCUUGAUAUUUAUGUAAUAGUUUAGUUUUCAUUAAGUUGUCUUGUUCCUUACCUAAUUAAAUCUUUUGAAAUAGAUUAGGUUCCAAUUUUCCCCCCUUUUAUUCAUAGUUAGCAAAUUACUACUUUCCUCAACUAGUCCCAUUUUAAUUUAUUUCCCAAACUUAGGUCUGAUUGAUUCUUUUGAAUGAAAGACCAUAACUUGGAGUCACAAUUAAAUUCAUGGUGAAUGACUCGUGGACUUCUCAACCAGCAAGACUCCUUGAACAAGGAUUACUUGGUGAGUUCUAUUACUUCAUAAACAAUUUUCCGGAAUUGGCUUCAAGGUGAAGGUGAGGCCCCGUCUCAAUCAAGCUAAAUGAGAAAGAUCAAUGCUUUUAAAUGUGCACUUCCUCUCUGUAUGCUUCUCUUGAAUGGGUAGAGGUCCACUUAUUUUAAUAAAUUUUUUAUUAAGCCAAAAUAUAUAUAUAUAUAUAUAUAUAUAUAUAUAUAUAUAUAUAUGAUUGCUAAAUAACUAUAGCUAUCAAACAAAAGACAACAAAUGAGUACUCUUCCAACUGUUUGGGUCUGCAAGUAAAAUUAUGAAUAGAUUAUUGUUACUAAUAGGAACUCCUCUCUUCAUAUUGCUCAUAUUAAUGUUUCAAUUAUAUUCACUUUCUUGGUAGUGGUACUUGUAUCGGUGAGUAUUGGAAUUGGGCACAUGUUCCAGAAGUUUCAUUCUAUGAAUCAAGUUAGAUAUAUGAACACUUUUCUGGACAGAAAUCUGCAUUCAAGGAGAAGAAAUUAUGAAAUGUUCCUAGUAUGCCAAAUAAAAUUGCUGCACAAAUGACUGCAAAGGUUUUCCACAACAAUUUUCUCUGGUAGCAGCUUUUCAGAACCCAUGGAAAAAUGGGCUUUUGAAUUCUUAUUGUCUCAACUGAUUAACAAGUGGAUUAGAGAGUUUUUUUUUCCUGCCAAGGAGUUAUCCAUUGAUCAGACUAUCUGUGGUUAGUUUGCAGUUCCUGGAGAUUUUAUUGGUCAUCCUUGGUGAUUAGAUGACAAGAGCAACAAAUGUCAUCUCAUAGCAUUGUGAAGUCCAUCACCUUGGAGGACUUGUGCUUUUGUGCAGUAGAAUGGAAAAUAAGGAAAAAUGUUUAGGUAUCAUGUUGGGGCAGAUAUAAAUUUGAUUUUAAACCAAGAAGAGAAUGAGAAUUAGCAGAUGAAGGAAGCAAUUGAAGGAGUUCUUGUUUGUUCCAUGUAGUCGAAGAUCUAACAACCAUCAAGAAGAGCUGCUCUAUCCCCAACUGGGAGGGGUAUUCUUAAGUUAGGAUUUCAACCACCAAUUUCAAGUGUGAAAGUCAAAUUUGAGCCGUAUCUGACUUGGACUCCUUUUGUUGACUUUGGCUUGGACUCUAUUCCUUUUUGGUUUUGUACUGUACUUGGUUUAGGACUUGAAUCAUUUUCCUACUGCACCUUGACUUGGGGUACUAUAUAUAUGUGGGCUCUUUAUGUAAAUAUCUUCAGCCUUGGCUCUUGUAAACUGAGAGAGUGAAGAGUUCUUUGAAUGUAUUUGGAGUUAGGGUUCUAUGAGAGUGUCUUUAUAUCACAUUUGUAAUCUCCUUAUUUUCUUAGUGAAACUUUCUUGACACCGCCUGUGGAUGUAGGCCUAAGGCUGAACCACAUAAA